CUUGUACACACCGCCCGUCGCACCAUGGGAGCGGGUUCUGCCAGAAGUAGUUAGCCUAACCGCAAGGAGGGCGAUUACCACGGCAGGGUUCGUGACUGGGGUG
RNAcentral lists this ribosomal RNA (103 nucleotides) under uncultured bacterium. Its description in RNAcentral is "partial 16S ribosomal RNA". It matches the Rfam family "Bacterial small subunit ribosomal RNA", at positions 1380 to 1482 of the family's 1533-position model. The record is from RNAcentral.